AGAGCGAACGCUGGCGGCAGGCUUAACACAUGCAAGUCGAGCGGGCGUAGCAAUACGUCAGCGGCAGACGGGUGAGUAACGCGUGGGAACGUACCUUUUGGUUCGGAACAACACAGGGAAACUUGUGCUAAUACCGGAUAAGCCCUUACGGGGAAAGAUUUAUCGCCGAAAGAUCGGCCCGCGUCUGAUUAGCUAGUUGGUGAGGUAAUGGCUCACCAAGGCGACGAUCAGUAGCUGGUCUGAGAGGAUGAUCAGCCACAUUGGGACUGAGACACGGCCCAAACUCCUACGGGAGGCAGCAGUGGGGAAUAUUGGACAAUGGGCGCAAGCCUGAUCCAGCCAUGCCGCGUGAGUGAUGAAGGCCCUAGGGUUGUAAAGCUCUUUUGUGCGGGAAGAUAAUGACGGUACCGCGAAGAAUAAGCCCCGGACUAACUUCGCGCCAGCAGCCGC
RNAcentral lists this ribosomal RNA (450 nucleotides) under uncultured bacterium. RNAcentral's name for it is "SSU rRNA". It matches the Rfam family "Bacterial small subunit ribosomal RNA", at positions 26 to 518 of the family's 1533-position model. The record is from RNAcentral.